RNAcentral lists this small nucleolar RNA (278 nucleotides) under Saccharomyces arboricola H-6. RNAcentral's name for it is "Small nucleolar RNA snR191". It matches the Rfam family "Small nucleolar RNA snR191". Lineage: Eukaryota; Fungi; Ascomycota; Saccharomycetes; Saccharomycetales; Saccharomycetaceae. The record is from Rfam by way of RNAcentral.
UACCAAACCUUUUUGUCAGGGUGCUUCUUUGUCCGCUCUAGGAUAACCUUUUCUACAGAAGUGUCUGUUACUGUUUUGGAAGAGUAAUACUGUUCGCUUAUCCAUAUUUUCUCGUUCUGAGGAAGCCUGUUGGAUAAAUUAGAAGGAUAACCUUUGUUUUAAAGGUACACCUUCGUUUUUAGAGCAGUGAGGAUCUUAUGAGUUGAGCUUUUGUUAUCUUGAGAAAUAAAUUCUCAAGAUAUCCGUACAAUACGUUCGUAGUAAAGAUCCUCACAAUU